RNAcentral lists this unclassified non-coding RNA (241 nucleotides) under plant metagenome. RNAcentral's name for it is "partial contains small subunit ribosomal RNA, internal transcribed spacer 1, and 5.8S ribosomal RNA". The record is from RNAcentral.
UUUCCGUAGGUGAACCUGCGGAAGGAUCAUUAAAAAGUAAGGGUCUUCGGGCCCGAUCUCCAACCCUUUGUUUAACUACCAUGUUGCUUUGGCGGGCCCGUCUCACGACCGCCGGAAGUUUGGCUUCGACCAAACUUCUGGCCCGUGCCCGUCAGUGGCCCCUUCAAAUUCUUGAUCAAGUAUGAUGUCUUAGUUAAAAACUUAAUAGUUAAAACUUUCAACAACGGAUCCCUUGGUUCUG